UUGGACACCUAUAUGGCACCAAAGUUAUAGCAGAUUGGACUAGUCUUAUUUUUAUAUACCAAAAGCCUACUUUAUUAAAUUGUUCUAAAAUUGUUCUUGGUUUUGUAAGAUAAAAUGUAGCAUGUCUGGGCCACAUACGUUUUAGUCCAUUACAACAUAUUCAAUCUUAACACAUGCAUAUACACAUGCUUCUGUUUUUAUUUUUCUUUUUCUUUUAUUUUUAACAUUAAAUUUAAUAUAAUCAAUCCAAAAUAGAAAUAACUUUCUGAUUACAAAUCCGGCUCGAACGAAAACAUUAUAAUAUUCUAAUAUUUUCUAACUAGCUUCGCUCGACCAAUCACUCAUGGUGCGUUCCACUAGAUAGGGUCUAAAAUCCUAGAGUAUUGGUUAUUGUUCUCAACCUUUGACGAGAACCAUGAGAUGGUAAGAUUGACAUGGUUUCUCGGAUCUCGGGACUUCCCAUGUUGUCUCUAGUGUAGCUAGUAUUCGAUGAAUUCACCGAGGCUUGUCACGAUCUAUGAAGCGUUAGACGAAUAUGAGAAGAGAAUACAUAGAAGCACUAACCUAAGGACGGGUGCCCUUACACUGCCUGCAUAGACUCAACUUCGUCCCCAUAUAACCAAAUCAGAAAGAGGGACCCAAAGAUCACCCAGCCCAAAUUGGAAUGCAAAAAGUUGUUUUGAGGAAACCGCUGCAACACAAACCGUUAAUUUCUCAAAAUCUCGCCAAUCGCCACAAUCGAGAACCAAAAGCGAUUAAUUUAUUAUCAUCAAAUGAUAAAUCCAGUGACAAUGGUACAUCGAUCCCAAUGAAAACAGCGCAAAAACCAAUAGGCUUUGUCGACUAAGCUUCAAGGAGGACCAGUUACACAUCACCGGGAAGAGGAGAGACAAUUGUGAAGGAGAACGCAAUACCAUCAAACAAGCCAUGGACAACUUCUUCGACACUGCGACACUGAGCAUCUCUGCAAGCCAAACACCAAAACCACCGACACACGCCUGCGGUUGUGUCUAAUCUUGAAUCCGAGUAAUGAGACCACCAAAUCUCUCAAGGCGUAGCUGAAAGGUUGCGGGAACGUAAGACGCCGAGGAUAACAUGAUAGACCCACAAACAUACUGCCGUUCAGCUUCUGCCAAAAGAAAGCAUCCCGACGAAUGCACACCGGAUCUGAAGCUUGAACCACCCUACCCCCUUCAUGUGAUGCCCACUCUGCAAGUAGCUUAAGGGGCCACCUGUAUAACCCCAAAGAGCUGACUACACCUACACCCACCGCACUGCAAGCCACGUUGAGAUUCCAAGAACAAGUCCUAGACCGGCCUGGAUCUCCUCGCAAAAGAGACGGUGUCGAAACGAGACUCCAUAUCCAAGACCACAACAAGAUAGAGAGAGUGGCGAAAGUAUAGUGAAGUAAAGACCAAAAAAAAGCUUGAGAGAAGAAUGUUGCCGGAACGAAACAUAAAUUCAAAAGAAAGAAUUACUUCGAGAAAGAGAGUC
This 1494-nucleotide long non-coding RNA is filed under the name Brassica napus (rape). Its description in RNAcentral is "long non-coding RNA (BNAP_LNC005807)". Lineage: Eukaryota; Viridiplantae; Streptophyta; Magnoliopsida; Brassicales; Brassicaceae. The record is from RNAcentral.